RNAcentral lists this ribosomal RNA (453 nucleotides) under uncultured organism. RNAcentral's name for it is "partial 16S ribosomal RNA". It matches the Rfam family "Bacterial small subunit ribosomal RNA", at positions 330 to 799 of the family's 1533-position model. The record is from RNAcentral.
CGUACACUCCUGCGGGAGGCAGCAGUGGGGAAUAUUGGACAAUGGGCGCAAGCCUGAUCCAGCCAUGCCGCGUGAGUGAUGAAGGCCCUAGGGUUGUAAAGCUCUUUCACCGGUGAAGAUAAUGACGGUAACCGGAGAAGAAGCCCCGACUAACUUCGUGCCAGCAGCCGCGGUAAUACGAAGGGGGCUAGCGUUGUUCGGAUUUACUGGGCGUAAAGCGCACGUAGGCGGACUAUUAAGUCAGGGGUGAAAUCCCGGGGCUCAACCCCGGAACUGCCUUUGAUACUGGUAGUCUUGAGUUCGAGAGAGGUGAGUGGAAUUCCGAGUGUAGAGGUGAAAUUCGUAGAUAUUCGGAGGAACACCAGUGGCGAAGGCGGCUCACUGGCUCGAUACUGACGCUGAGGUGCGAAAGCGUGGGGAGCAAACAGGAUUAGAAACCCUAGUAGUCCCAUG